This 527-nucleotide ribosomal RNA is filed under the name Melanohalea subelegantula. RNAcentral's name for it is "eukaryotic LSU rRNA". It matches the Rfam family "Eukaryotic large subunit ribosomal RNA", at positions 112 to 650 of the family's 3401-position model. Lineage: Eukaryota; Fungi; Ascomycota; Lecanoromycetes; Lecanorales; Parmeliaceae. The record is from RNAcentral.
AAUUUGAAAUCUGGCCCCUUCGGGGUCCGAGUUGUAAUUUGUAGAGAGUGCUUCGGGUGAGACUGCGGUCUAAGUCCAUUGGAACAUGGCGUCCCAGAGGGUGAGAAUCCCGUAUGUGACCGCGGCUCGAGCCCAUGUGAAGCCUCUUCGACGAGUCGAGUUGUUUGGGAAUGCAGCUCUAAAUGGGUGGUAAAUUUCAUCUAAAGCUAAAUACUGGCUGGAGACCGAUAGCGCACAAGUAGAGUGAUCGAAAGAUGAAAAGCACUUUGGAAAGAGGGUUAAACAGUACGUGAAAUUGUUGAAAGGGAAGCGCUGGCAACCAGACCUGUCCGUAGGCGAUCACCCGUUGUUCUCAGCGGUGCACUCGUUCUGCGAUCAGGCCAGCAUCGGUUCGGGCGGGCGGAUAAAGGUCUUGGGAAUGUAGCUCCCUUCUCGGGGGAGUCUUAUAGCCCUCGAUGCAAUGCGCCCAGCCGGGACCGAGGACCGCGCUUCGGCUAGGAUGCUGGCGUAAUGGUUGUCAGCGACCC